GGUAAAGGCGAUGAAGGACGUACUAGACUGCGAUAAGCUACGGGGAGCUGUCAAGAAGCUUUGAUCCGUAGAUUUCCGAAUGGGGCAACCCAAUGUAUAGAGAUAUACAUUACCUAUAUAGGAGCGAACGAGGGGAAUUGAAACAUCUUAGUACCCUCAGGAAAAGAAAUCAAUAGAGAUUGCGUCAGUAGCGGCGAGCGAAAGCGCAAGAGGGCAAACCCAGUGCUUGCACUGGGGGUUGUAGGACUGCAAUGUGCAAGAGCUGAGUUUAGCAGAACAUUCUGGAAAGUAUAGCCAUAGAGGGUGAUAGUCCCGUAUGCGAAAAACAAAGCUUAGCUAGCAGUAUCCUGAGUAGGGCGGGACACGAGAAAUCCUGUCUGAAUCCGGGUCGACCACGAUCCAACCCUAAAUACUAAUACCAGAUCGAUAGUGCACAAGUACCGUGAGGGAAAGGUGAAAAGAACUGAGGUGAUCAGAGUGAAAUAGAACCUGAAACCAUUUGCUUACAAUCAUUCAGAGCCCUAUGUAGCAAUACAGGGUGAUGGACUGCCUUUUGCAUAAUGAGCCUGCGAGUUGUGGUGUCUGGCAAGGUUAAGCAAACGCGAAGCCGUAGCGAAAGCGAGUCUGAAUAGGGCGCUUAGUCAGAUGCUGCAGACCCGAAACGAAGUGAUCUAUCCAUGAGCAAGUUGAAGCUAGUGUAAGAACUAGUGGAGGACUGAACCCAUAGGCGUUGAAAAGCCCCGGGAUGACUUGUGGAUAGGGGUGAAAGGCCAAUCAAACUUCGUGAUAGCUGGUUCUCUCCGAAAUAUAUUUAGGUAUAGCGUUGUGUCGUAAUAUAAGGGGGUAGAGCACUGAAUGGGCUAGGGCAUACACCAAUGUACCAAACCCUAUCAAACUCCGAAUACCUUAUAUGUAAUCACAGCAGUCAGGCGGCGAGUGAUAAAAUCCGUCGUCAAGAGGGAAACAACCCAGACUACCAGCUAAGGUCCCUAAAUCUUACUUAAGUGGAAAACGAUGUGAAGUUACUUAAACAACCAGGAGGUUGGCUUAGAAGCAGCCAUCCUUUAAAGAAAGCGUAAUAGCUCACUGGUCUAGUGAUUUUGCGCGGAAAAUAUAACGGGGCUAAAGU
RNAcentral lists this ribosomal RNA (1129 nucleotides) under Campylobacter jejuni. RNAcentral describes it as "partial 23S ribosomal RNA". It matches the Rfam family "Bacterial large subunit ribosomal RNA", at positions 39 to 1188 of the family's 2925-position model. Lineage: Bacteria; Pseudomonadati; Campylobacterota; Epsilonproteobacteria; Campylobacterales; Campylobacteraceae. The record is from RNAcentral.